This 370-nucleotide ribosomal RNA is filed under the name uncultured Gluconacetobacter sp. Its description in RNAcentral is "bacterial SSU rRNA". It matches the Rfam family "Bacterial small subunit ribosomal RNA", at positions 355 to 740 of the family's 1533-position model. Lineage: Bacteria; Pseudomonadati; Pseudomonadota; Alphaproteobacteria; Acetobacterales; Acetobacteraceae. The record is from RNAcentral.
UGGGGAAUAUUGGACAAUGGGCGCAAGCCUGAUCCAGCAAUGCCGCGUGUGUGAAGAAGGUUUUCGGAUUGUAAAGCACUUUCAGCGGGGACGAUGAUGACGGUACCCGCAGAAGAAGCCCCGGCUAACUUCGUGCCAGCAGCCGCGGUAAUACGAAGGGGGCAAGCGUUGCUCGGAAUGACUGGGCGUAAAGGGCGCGUAGGCGGUUGACACAGUCAGAUGUGAAAUUCCUGGGCUUAACCUGGGGGCUGCAUUUGAUACGUGGCGACUAGAGUGUGAGAGAGGGUUGUGGAAUUCCCAGUGUAGAGGUGAAAUUCGUAGAUAUUGGGAAGAACACCGGUGGCGAAGGCGGCAACCCUGGCUCCAUGAC